Leopardus geoffroyi (Geoffroy's cat) is the source of this 1207-nucleotide long non-coding RNA. RefSeq lists it as uncharacterized. The record is from RefSeq and is a predicted model, not a curated record. NCBI's taxonomy places the organism in Eukaryota, Metazoa, Chordata, Mammalia, Carnivora, Felidae. The transcript is spliced from 4 exons.
UUCUUAGGCUGGAGGGCGGGAGGCCUCCCUGAGCCAAGGGUAGGACCCAGUUGGCUCUCAUAGGUCAGGUGCCCCGAAUGAAGCUCAAACGUCAUGCUGUUAACUCCCCGAACUCUUGGCAGAGUGCAGCUUUCUGUUUUGAAAGUAAUGGCCCCAUGUCUCUCAUGAACAAGUCCUGUUAGAGAUCAAAGCAAUCUUUCAUAACCUUGUUUUGAUGAGUUAAGGGAAAAUGAAGCAGAAACAUGAGGAUUAAGUGUCCCUUAAAACUCCCCUUGGGAUGUAAAUACUGGGAAGAAUGUGUUGGGCCAAACCAUGUGUCAGACCCCAAACAUGGAGAAGCAGAGCAAGGCUUCUGACAAAUUGAGGGGCCUGUGACCUACGCAAUGUCCCCGGCGGGGAGGACAGAGCAGAUCGCGAAUAAAGAGAUGACAAGAAUUCCACAAACAAUGGCAGCCAGUGGAACCUAAUAUGUAAGAGAGGAUUUGGGUGGUUCAGGGUGAAAUUAAAUCAUCUGUGUAGAUUCCCACAUCCCCAUCCUCGAAGCCGGUUGGAGAUGAUCUGAUCUCCCAACACUGCCGGGCUCAAGGCUGCCUGCGGCAAUUCCUGUGCCUUUUUAGCUCCAUCCAAAAUAAACCUUCUGGGAGAAGUGCUGUAGCCUCUGCUCCAGGAGAGAUAAGUUUCAUGCUUGUUUGCUUUCUUGUUUGUUUUUAAAGACUACUGAAGGCAGGCUGAAUGAAGACUUUCCAGUGGUACUUUAUUGGGGUUCCCUUUUCUUGAUUUCUGGGUUUUCAUGCCUGGUACAAACCCGCUGAUGUGUGAAUCUAGCAAACAGUCUCUCUCCACAGUUUAGAACCUUCACCAGUAAAAUUUGGGACUUUCUGUAGGCUGAACUAAAAUCUGCAGUGCUCUUUCGGUAGUCUUGUCUCCUGGAAUCAGAGCAUAUUUGAAUUAUUGGGCCCUAACUCACACCUCGUGGUACAUUGUAAUGCAUCUUCAAAGGCACUAUGGACCUGAUUGUUCCCCACCCUGGGCCUGGGGUUGGAGAGGGUGCAGGGCUGGGCAGCACAAGGGGCAUCUGGAGCCUCUGGGCCUCAUCCACAAGCUUUACGGGAUGUGCCAGCAGAAGGGCCACUUUCUAAGCUCCUGCGUGGUGGUAGAAACUCUGUUAGGUAGGUCAGGACCAGGAGAGUCCCAAGGAAGUUGGGGA